Molecule: long non-coding RNA, 479 nt
Organism: Oreochromis niloticus (Nile tilapia)
Lineage: Eukaryota; Metazoa; Chordata; Actinopteri; Cichliformes; Cichlidae
Exons: 2
Source: RefSeq, a predicted model, not a curated record
AUAAGCAGCUACAGCUGUGGUGGACAGCCCAUGUUUGACAUGUUUGAUGGAAAAAGAGAAUAGUCUGGAUUCACUCUGAUGCUGGCAGACAUAAACGGGGAAGACCCUUCACAGGAAUGUGGAUGGAGGUUGUGAUAGCUACAAGACAACCCCCUUCUUUAACUCUACAGGCCAGACUGGAGAACGACAGGUGGUUGCCAUGGUAAUGGGAGUGUUGCCUGCAAAAGGGUCAUCUCCAUAUAAGGCUGAUAUCCAGAGAGGUGCAGAAGAAGAAACGUGCGAAAGUAUCAGACCAAAGGCCACCCUCAACUGAUUCCAUCAGUCAUGUUGACAUUCUGUUUCUGUGACCCGCCAUAAAAGUCUAUACUACUUGGGUGUGGUGCUCUUUGUUCGUUUGGCUCUCCUGAGUGAGCAAAGAGACACGGCAGCCGUUUUUUUAACUUGAGCCUUCAAAUGCUUAAUAAAUUUAAAACAAUGCA